Molecule: small RNA, 283 nt
Filed under: Corynebacterium stationis
Lineage: Bacteria; Bacillati; Actinomycetota; Actinomycetes; Mycobacteriales; Corynebacteriaceae
Description: 5' ureB small RNA
Rfam family: 5' ureB small RNA
Source: RNAcentral
CGACCUGGUCAGGGGAGAGGUAGUGGAUGUGGGUAUCAAUCGCGCCGGCGGUGACAAUCAGGCCUUCGCCGCCGAUGACCUCAGUGGCAACGCCGAUGAUGAUGUCGAUAUUGUCCUGGGUAUCAGGGUUACCGGCGUUGCCGAGCUUUAAAAUCUUGCCGUCUUUGACCGCGAUAUCGGCUUUGAAGACGCCGGUGUAGUCAAUGAUCAGUGCAUUGGUGAUUACCAGGUCCGGGAUGUCGUUGACCGCGGUGAGGCGGCCAUUUUGGCCCAUGCCGUCGCG